GCCACUGCUUCCGCCGCCGAGCCUCCUCCGCCCGCCGCUGCUGCCGUUCCAGCAGGCUGGCCCGCUUUUGGGCCAUCUCGUCCUCGGGCUUGUCUUCAUCCUGGGGGCAGGCUCGGAAGAGCACACCUCUGAACUCAAGUCA
Leopardus geoffroyi (Geoffroy's cat) is the source of this 142-nucleotide long non-coding RNA. RefSeq lists it as uncharacterized. The transcript is spliced from 4 exons. The record is from RefSeq and is a predicted model, not a curated record. Lineage: Eukaryota; Metazoa; Chordata; Mammalia; Carnivora; Felidae.